Long non-coding RNA from Dama dama (fallow deer), 654 nucleotides. RefSeq lists it as uncharacterized. The transcript is spliced from 5 exons. The record is from RefSeq and is a predicted model, not a curated record. Lineage: Eukaryota; Metazoa; Chordata; Mammalia; Artiodactyla; Cervidae.
CGGCAAUCACCAUCUGCAGUGAUUUUGGAGCCCAGAAAAAUAAAGUCAGCCACUGUUUCCAUUGACCCCAUCUAUUUGCCAUGAAGUGAUGGGACCGGAUGCCAUGAUCUUAGUGUUCUGAAUGGGAAGAAACAGAGGAGUCAAGGACGAUACCAAGGUGCUUGGACUAAGCAAUAUGAAGAAAAGCACUUUCAUUGAUCAAGAGGCAAAAGACAGAGGAAAAACAGAUUUGCCAGGGGGAAAAAGCAGUCAGCAACAUCUGCAGCAUAGGUGCUAAUAAUCUGUCUGAGAGAUGCAUGAAGAAGCAGGAAAAUGUGUUCACAGAACCUCAUGCAAGCCAAGGAACUCAGAAGGACAAUUUCCCAACCAGGUAUUGAGCUUGGGCCCCCUGCAUUGGAAGCAUGGAGUCUCAGCCACUGGACCACCGGGGAAGUCCCUCCUGAAAUGUUUAAACCAUGAGCUACACACUAAAAUUCCAUACCUAAAAUUCUGCUGGAUCUGAGUCAUUGCCUCCUCCCAAGUAUUCUAGCAGGUCCUGUGCACGACAAGACACAAAAAUCGGACCUCUGCCAAUUGGAGAUCAGAUCUCUGCUCCUUCAGAGUACUUGAGAAAGGGAAGGUGAGAGAUGAAGUUCAGCUCCGCUUGCCAACAGA